AAAACAUCAGCCAUCAAAACAUUCUAUGUUCCUGCGGAUAUUCCUAUUAACAACGGUACAUCGAUCUUCGCCGUAGAUUAGAGAUCAACCAACGGAAUCAAAAAAACAGACGGAGUGGAAAGCAACGUAGAAUACACCCGCCUACACGAAUUUGUUGAUGUAACGGAGAAAUGGUGAACAGAAUCGUAAUGCCGAUGACGGAACGGUCGAGGACGGCGGAUGGCGAUGGUGGGGGUGGCGGCGAUGAGGGAGCAUUUUAAG
Armigeres subalbatus is the source of this 261-nucleotide long non-coding RNA. RefSeq lists it as uncharacterized. The transcript is spliced from 3 exons. Lineage: Eukaryota; Metazoa; Arthropoda; Insecta; Diptera; Culicidae. The record is from RefSeq and is a predicted model, not a curated record.